CCGUAAUGAUGCUUUGCCAUGCUAAUACUGAGAGAUCAGUUUUUUGGAUUUCAAUGAGUUAAACUUACAAAUGUCACUGAACAUU
Molecule: small nucleolar RNA, 85 nt
Organism: Bombus huntii
Lineage: Eukaryota; Metazoa; Arthropoda; Insecta; Hymenoptera; Apidae
Source: RefSeq, a predicted model, not a curated record